RNAcentral lists this unclassified non-coding RNA (173 nucleotides) under uncultured Ascomycota. RNAcentral's name for it is "sequence contains ITS2". Lineage: Eukaryota; Fungi; Ascomycota. The record is from RNAcentral.
UCAACCUCUCAAGCUUGGCUUGUCGUUGGACCUUGCAGCUACCGAUAAUCGGCGGGGCGCAGGUCUUUAACCUAGUGGCGGAGUUCGGAUUGGACCCCGGAUACAACGAGCUCUCUCCAGCAUGUAUCAAGGUGGCCCACCGACCCCUAGCCUCGUCAAAAAGUCUUAACCAU